This 375-nucleotide long non-coding RNA is filed under the name Daucus carota (carrot). RNAcentral describes it as "long non-coding RNA (DCAR_LNC004348)". Lineage: Eukaryota; Viridiplantae; Streptophyta; Magnoliopsida; Apiales; Apiaceae. The record is from RNAcentral.
GGUAAAGUGGUGGGACCUACCAAUAUUUAAUAAUAGAUUUGAGAUAGUGGAGGAAAGUAGUGGGUGUAAUAGUAGUUUUUAUUGUUAAAUAUGAGAUAGUGGGGGAAGAUAGUGGGUGUAAUGAUGAGAAAAACUUACUAUUUAUAGUAACGUAAAGAAAUGAGGGGGACAUCCCAAAAUAGUAACCGUAAAGAAAUGAGAGGGACAGAGGGAGUAUUGUUAUUCUUAGAAGAUUGUUUUGUCUACAAUCCUAUAGGACUACAGAGAAUUAAGAAUGAGGAAAUAUUGUGGCUGUGAGAGGUUCUGUGGCUACUUUAGUUGCGUGAGCAGCUACACUUGUUUAUAUGUUUGGUAGUUCAAUAGAAAUAUCAAAUA